GAUGAACGCUGGCGGCGUGCCUAAUACAUGCAAGUCGAGCGAGCGGACGAGAAGCUUGCUUCUCUGAUGUUAGCGGCGGACGGGUGAGUAACACGUGGAUAACCUACCUAUAAGACUGGGAUAACUUCGGGAAACCGGUGCUAAUACCGGUUAAUAUUUUGAAUCGCAUGGUUCAUAAGUGAAAGACGGUCUUGCUGUCACUUAUAGAUGGAUCCGCGCUGCAUUAGCUAGUUGGUAAGGUAACGGCUUACCAAGGCAACGAUGCAUAGCCGACCUGAGAGGGUGAUCGGCCACACUGGAACUGAGACACGGUCCAGACUCCUACGGUAGGCAGCAGUAGGGAAUCGUCCACAAUGGGCGAAAGCCUGACGGAGCAACGCCGCGUGGGUGAUGAAGGUCUUCGGAUCGUAAAACUCUGUUAUUAGUGAAGAACAUAUGUGUAAGUAACUGUGCACAUCUUGACGGUACCUAAUCAGAAAGCCACGGCUAACUACGUG
RNAcentral lists this ribosomal RNA (497 nucleotides) under uncultured bacterium. RNAcentral describes it as "partial 16S ribosomal RNA". It matches the Rfam family "Bacterial small subunit ribosomal RNA", at positions 28 to 507 of the family's 1533-position model. The record is from RNAcentral.